This 440-nucleotide ribosomal RNA is filed under the name uncultured bacterium. RNAcentral's name for it is "partial 16S ribosomal RNA". It matches the Rfam family "Bacterial small subunit ribosomal RNA", at positions 338 to 795 of the family's 1533-position model. The record is from RNAcentral.
CCUACGGUAGGCAGCAGUAGGGAAUAUUGCUCAAUGGGGGAAACCCUGAAGCAGCAACGCCGCGUGGAGGAUGAAGGUUUUCGGAUUGUAAACUCCUUUUGUUAGAGAAGAUAAUGACGUUAUCUAACGAAUAAUCACCGGCUAACUCCGUGCCAGCAGCCGCGGUAAUACGGAGGGUGCAAGCGUUACUCGGAAUCACUGGGCGUAAAGAGCGCGUAGGCGGGAUGGCAAGUCAGAUGUGAAAUCCUAUGGCUUAACCAUAGAACUGCAUUUGAAACUGUUAGGCUAGAGUAUGGGAGAGGUAGGUGGAAUUCUUGGUGUAGGGGUAAAAUGCGUAGAGAUGAAGAGGAAUACUGAUUGCGAAGGCGACCUGCUGGAACGUAACUGACGCUGAUGCGCGAAAGCGUGGGGAGCAAACAGGAUUAGAUACCCCUGUAGUC